This 292-nucleotide ribosomal RNA is filed under the name uncultured bacterium. Its description in RNAcentral is "partial 16S ribosomal RNA". It matches the Rfam family "Bacterial small subunit ribosomal RNA", at positions 505 to 796 of the family's 1533-position model. The record is from RNAcentral.
GUGUCAGCCGCCGCGGUAAUACGUAGGGUGCGAGCGUUAAUCGGAAUUACUGGGCGUAAAGCGUGCGCAGGCGGUCCGCAAAGUCUGAUGUGAAAGCCCCGGGCUCAACCUGGGAACUGCAUUGGAAACUAACGGGCUCGAGUGUGGCAGAGGGGGGUGGAAUUCCACGUGUAGCAGUGAAAUGCGUAGAGAUGUGGAGGAACACCGAUGGCGAAGGCAGCCCCCUGGGCUAACACUGACGCUCAGGCACGAAAGCGUGGGGAGCAAACAGGAUUAGAAACCCCCGUAGUCC